GAAAAGAAAAAAAAAUAACCAAAUUUGAGCAUCAAGGGUCUUCCAGUCUCCUUACUGCAUUAUUUCUAUAGUUUUCUAAAA
Molecule: small nucleolar RNA, 81 nt
Organism: Jaculus jaculus (lesser Egyptian jerboa)
Lineage: Eukaryota; Metazoa; Chordata; Mammalia; Rodentia; Dipodidae
Product: small nucleolar RNA U2-19
Exons: 1
Source: RefSeq, a predicted model, not a curated record